AUUUUAUAUGGCAAUGUAGAGG
This 22-nucleotide microRNA is filed under the name Anolis carolinensis (green anole). Its description in RNAcentral is "aca-miR-9576-3p". The record is from miRBase by way of RNAcentral. Lineage: Eukaryota; Metazoa; Chordata; Lepidosauria; Squamata; Anolidae.